Molecule: long non-coding RNA, 103 nt
Organism: Thalassophryne amazonica
Lineage: Eukaryota; Metazoa; Chordata; Actinopteri; Batrachoidiformes; Batrachoididae
Exons: 3
Source: RefSeq, a predicted model, not a curated record
CUGCCACUGUCUCCGGAGUGGGUCACACCCGGCGUGGGCCGGGCGCUUGACGCUAGAAGCGAGAGCCCGCUCGGGGCUCGCCUCCCCGCCUCACCUGGGAAAA